This is a non-coding RNA of Malus domestica (apple), 1412 nucleotides long. The record is from RefSeq and is a predicted model, not a curated record. NCBI's taxonomy places the organism in Eukaryota, Viridiplantae, Streptophyta, Magnoliopsida, Rosales, Rosaceae.
UUUUAGGUUUGAAGCCUUACACCUCACGCCUUGCGCCUAGGCUGGGCUAUCCAUUGGACGCCUUGGCCACACCCCCACCUUUUAAUACAUUGCUCAGAAGUCAGUGUUUUGGUCACAGAAUUUGACCAUGGGAUUUAAUUUUUGAGUUAGUGAAGUCUUGGAACCACUUUCGUAGAUUUUCAUUUUAGCUUCCCAAUUUGUAUCUUUGUGUUCAUCACUCAAAUGGGAUUAUGCGUGCCCCUUGGCCCUUCAGAUUUCCUAAUGGCAUUAUACUCCUCUCUCUCUCUCUCUCUCUCAAUGGAAUUAUGCUUGAUCUCCCUUGGCCCUUCAGAUUUCCUGAUGGCAUUACAUUAUUUAGUUACCUCUAGUUUUCAAGUAUCAUGCCUUCUUUGUCCAUAUAGCCCAGUUUAUAUAUUAUUUUCUUUUCUUUUAUUUCCUCGCAUUAAACUGCCCUCCUUACUUUUUAUCGUGCAUUAGCCUAGUUUACAUGUGACCUAUGAUCGGCUAUUAAUACAAUCAUUUCUUUAUCAAUCUUUUUGGUAUUUCAAUCUUAGAUAAUCAAUUAUUAUACUCAUGAGGUGGUAGGAAUUUGAUAUUUGUACAGAUGACUAAACUUGUGUAAUUAAUUUAUUCAUAAAUAUAUUUGGUUCCACUGAAUGAACUUGGCCUAUGGGCAACACCAAGUUGUACAGUAGAUUUUGUUCAAUCUUAAUAGUUUUAGGGAGUAUUUGGUCAUGAUUCCUGACACUUUGUGCUUUUAGGAAACAUCGGUACUGCGGAGCAAGCUUUUAGAACAUGAAAACCUUGUUAAGUAUGCUGAUAGGCUUAAGGUGGAGUUUGUGGACUCAGGUUCACCAUCUUCAGUUCCAAACUUUCAUGGAAACUCUUCAUCAGCAGCUCCUAGAAGAGGUCCUUCAAACUCGAGUUCUAAGCCCAAGAGUAAACCCAAAAGGGAAGAGACAAAGGAGGAGAAAAGUUUUAAGAGAAGGGCCAGAUAUUUUUUAACAGCACAGCUGGUUUCAGUUGUACUUUUCGUCACUCUCCUAAGUCGAGUUGAUGAGGCUGAUGUCGAGGUUGAUGAUGAUGGGUAUGAAUAGUUGUGUUCUUAGCACCAGCAUUUUUUACAUGAAAACCAGCUAGGAUUAGCAGCCUGACGACGAAGAGAGAAUUUCUGUAAUCCCGUUCUUUCAGUUUUGUAGUAUGACGUUGAAAUUUUGGGAAAAUAAGCACCUGUAUAAAUACAUGAUAUGAUUUGCUGGAAAGUUGAAGUUAGAAACCUAGAAUUGGAGGUAUUCUUCACCUGCAGGAUUCCAAUGUUCGACUUUUGAAGCAGUGCUGACAAUUUGUAAAUUUCAUUGGAUAUGAAUUGGUGAGAAGGGUUUAACUGUGAUGCAAUUUCGUACUUUUAUGUU